UACCCCGGGAACUGGGGAUAAUUCCGGAUAACGCAUAUUUGCUGGAAUGCUUUAUGCGUCAAAAGGAUUCGUCUGCCCAAGGAUGGGUCUGCGGCCUAUCAGGUAGUAGUGGGUGUAAUGUACCUACUAGCCAGCGACGGGUACGGGUUGUGAGAGCAAGAGCCCGGAGAUGGAUUCUGAGACAUGAAUCCAGGCCCUACGGGGCGCAGCAGGCGCGAAAACUUUACAAUGCGGGAAACCGUGAUAAGGGGACACCGAGUGCCAGCAUCAUAUGCUGGCUGUCCGGAUGUGUAAAAUACAUCCGUUAGCAAGGGCCGGGCAAGACCGGUGCCAGCCGCCGCGGUAACACCGGCGGCCCGAGUGGUGAUCGUGAUUAUUGGGUCUAAAGGGUCCGUAGCCGGUUUGGUCAGUCCUCCGGGAAAUCUGAUAGCUCAACUAUUAGGCUUUCGGGGGAUACUGCCAGACUUGGAACCGGGAGAGGUAAGAGGUACUACAGGGGUAGGAGUGAAAUCUUGUAAUCCCUGUGGGACCACCUGUGGCGAAGGCGUCUUACCAGAACGGGUUCGACGGUGAGGGACGAAAGCUGGGGGCACGAACCGGAUUAGAUACCCGGGUAGUCCCAGCCGUAAACGAUGCUCGCUAGGUGUCAGGCAUGGCGCGACCGUGUCUGGUGCCGCAGGGAAGCCGUGAAGCGAGCCACCUGGAAGUACGCC
RNAcentral lists this ribosomal RNA (713 nucleotides) under Methanosarcina mazei. RNAcentral's name for it is "bacterial SSU rRNA". It matches the Rfam family "Archaeal small subunit ribosomal RNA", at positions 128 to 841 of the family's 1478-position model. Lineage: Archaea; Methanobacteriati; Methanobacteriota; Methanomicrobia; Methanosarcinales; Methanosarcinaceae. The record is from RNAcentral.